This 237-nucleotide unclassified non-coding RNA is filed under the name fungal sp. RNAcentral describes it as "partial internal transcribed spacer region". The stretch from base 1 to 46 matches the Rfam family "Eukaryotic small subunit ribosomal RNA", at positions 1786 to 1831 of the family's 1831-position model. The record is from RNAcentral. Lineage: Eukaryota; Fungi.
AAGUCGUAACAAGGUUUCCGUAGGUGAACCUGCGGAAGGAUCAUUAACAGAUUCUGCUAGCCAGAUAUCUUACCCCGUGUGAACUGUUCUUCUGACUUGGUGUCCAAGCACUGGGUCCUUCAGACUAGUCUUGUUGGACUUACGUCUAGGCACCGCAUUUUAUUACCCUUUUGACUAUGUAUGCCGAGAAAACUACCAAAGACUAGAAAACUUUUAGCAACGGAUCUCUAGGCUCUU